This 346-nucleotide ribosomal RNA is filed under the name uncultured bacterium. Its description in RNAcentral is "bacterial SSU rRNA". It matches the Rfam family "Bacterial small subunit ribosomal RNA", at positions 8 to 334 of the family's 1533-position model. The record is from RNAcentral.
AGGGUUUGAUUAUGGCUCAGGAUGAACGCUGGCGGCGUGCUUAACACAUGCAAGUCGAACGAAGCACUCACGACAGAACUCUUCGGAGGGAAGAUGUGAGCGACUGAGUGGCGGACGGGUGAGUAACGCGUGGGUAACCUGCCUCAUAGAGGGGGACAACAGUUGGAAACGACUGCUAAUACCGCAUAGUAAGAAAGAUUCGCAUGUUUCUUUCUUGAAAGCUUUUGCGCUAUGAGAUGGACCCGCGUCUGAUUAGCUAGUUGGUAAGGUAACGGCUUACCAAGGCGACGAUCAGUAGCCGGCUUGAGAGAGUGAACGGCCACAUUGGGACUGAGACACGGCCCAA